CAGCAGCCGCGGUAAUACGGAGGGUGCAAGCGUUAAUCGGAAUUACUGGGCGUAAAGCGUGCGUAGGUGGUGGUUUAAGUCCGUUGUGAAAGCCCUGGGCUCAGCCUGGGAACUGCAUUUGAGACUGUACGGCUAGAGUGUGUCAGAGGGGGGUAGAAUUCCACGUGUAGCAGUGAAAUGCGUAGAUAUGUGGAGGAAUACCGAUGGCGAAGGCAGCCCCCUGGGAUAACACUGACGCUCAUGCACGAAAGCGUGGGGAGCAAACAGGAUUAGAUACCCCUGUAGUCCCUGUCUCUUAUAA
Molecule: ribosomal RNA, 301 nt
Filed under: uncultured bacterium
Lineage: Bacteria
Description: partial 16S ribosomal RNA
Rfam family: Bacterial small subunit ribosomal RNA
Source: RNAcentral